CAGUCGACGGGGAUACGUUUUCGGAUGUAUUCUAGUGGCGCACGGGUGAGUAACGCGUGAGCGACCUGACCCAAAGAGGGGGAUAACAUCGAGAAAUCGAUGCUAAUACCGCAUAAGACCACGGUAUCGCAUGGUACAGAGGUCAAAGGAGCAAUCCGCUUUGGGAGGGGCUCGCGUCCCAUUAGAUAGUAGGCGGGGUAACGGCCCACCUAGUCAACGAUGGGUAGCCGAGCUGAGAGGCUGAUCGGCCACACUGGAACUGAGACACGGCCCAGACUCCUACGGGAGGCAGCAGUGGGGAAUAUUGGGCAAUGGGCGAAAGCCUGACCCAGCAACGCCGCGUGAGGGAAGAAGGUUUUCGGAUUGUAAACCUCUGUCGCAGAUGACGAAGGAAGUGACGGUAAUCUGUGAGGAAGCCCCGGCUAACUACGUGCCAGCAGCCGCGGUAAUACGUAGGGGGCGAGCGUUGUCCGGAAUUACUGGGCGUAAAGGGUGCGUAGGCGGUUGAUUAAGUUGGAUGUGAAAUACCCGGGCUUAACCUGGGGGGUGCAUUCAAAACUGGUCAACUAGAGUUCAGGAGAGGGAAGCGGAAUUCCUAGUGUAGCGGUGAAAUGCGUAGAUAUUAGGAGGAACACCAGUGGCGAAGGCGGCUUUCUGGACUGACACUGACGCUGAGGCACGAAAGCGUGGGGAGCAAACAGGAUUAGAUACCCUGGUAGUCCACGCGGUAAACGAUGAAUACUAGGUGUAGGGGGUAUCAACUCCCUCUGUGCCGCAGCAAACGCAAUAAGUAUUCCGCCUGGGGAGUACGGCCGCAAGGUUGAAACUCAAAGGAAUUGACGGGGGCCCGCACAAGCAGCGGAGCAUGUGGUUUAAUUCGACGCAACGCGAAGAACCUUACCAAGGCUUGACAUCCUGCUAAAGCCAUAGAGAUAUGGUGUCCCUUCGGGGGAGCAGAGACAGGUGGUGCAUGGUUGUCGUCAGCUCGUGUCGUGAGAUGUUGGGUUAAAGUCCCGCACGAGCGCAACCCCUGU
RNAcentral lists this ribosomal RNA (1034 nucleotides) under uncultured bacterium. RNAcentral describes it as "bacterial SSU rRNA". It matches the Rfam family "Bacterial small subunit ribosomal RNA", at positions 59 to 1108 of the family's 1533-position model. The record is from RNAcentral.